Molecule: ribosomal RNA, 727 nt
Filed under: Alexandrium tamarense
Lineage: Eukaryota; Dinophyceae; Gonyaulacales; Pyrocystaceae
Description: partial Bacterial large subunit ribosomal RNA
Rfam family: Bacterial large subunit ribosomal RNA
Source: RNAcentral
UCGAGUCGUCCUGCGCGGAAGAUGUACCGGGGCUAAACAUACCACCGAAGCUGCGGCAGCAUGUUUACAUGCUGGGUAGGGGAGCGUUGUGUAAGUGGCUGAAGGUGAGUCGAGAGGCUUGCUGGACAUAUCACAAGUGCGAAUGCUGACAUGAGUAACGAUAAUGGGGGUGAAAAACCCCCACGCCGGAAGACCAAGGUUUCCUGUCCCAUGCUAAUCAGGGCAGGGUAAGUCGGCCCCUAAGGCGAGGCGGAAACGCGUAGUCGAUGGGAAACAGGUUAAUAUUCCUGUACCGAUUACAAGUGCGAUGUGGGGACGGAGAAGGUUAGCUCAGCCAACUGUUGGAUAUGUUGGUUCAAGCCUGUAGUCAUGCCUGGUAGGCAAAUCCGCCGGGCUAAGAUGAGGGGUGAUAACGAGUGUGCUUGCACACGAAGUGAGUGAUACCCUGCUUCCAGGAAAAGCCACUAAGCUUCAGCUUGUAACGACCGUACCGCAAACCGACACUGGUGCGCGAGAUGAGUAUUCUAAGGCGCUUGAGAGAACUCUGGAGAAGGAACUCGGCAAAUUGACACCGUAACUUCGGGAGAAGGUGUGCCCUCAGUAGGUGAACCUGUACAAGGGGAGCCCAAAGGGGUUGCAAAGAAUAGGUGGCUGCGACUGUUUAUUAAAAACACAGCACUCUGCAAACACGAAAGUGGACGUAUAGGGUGUGACGCCUGCCCGGUGC